CAAUAGCGUAUAUUAAAAUUGUUGCGGUUAAAACGCUCGUAGUUGGAUAUCUGCUAAGGGGUUACGGUCCUUCCCAGUGAAGAAUACGCGGAACUCUUCUUGGCAUUUAUUCAGGGAAGGUGUUUGCACUUUGUUGUGUGUCACGUGAUCUGAAUUUUUACUUUGAGGAAAUGAGAGUGUUUCAAGCAGGCUUUCGCCGUGAAUAUGAUAGCAUGGAAUAAUAGCACAGGACCCCUUUCCAAAGCUGUUGGUUUUUGGAACGAGGUAAUCAGAAUAAGGAUAGUUGGGGGUAUUCGUAUUUAACUGUCAGAGGUGAAAUUCUUGGAUUUUUUAAAGACGAACUAUUGCGAAGGCAUCUGCCCAGGAUGUUUUUAUUGA
This 378-nucleotide ribosomal RNA is filed under the name uncultured eukaryote. Its description in RNAcentral is "partial 18S ribosomal RNA". It matches the Rfam family "Eukaryotic small subunit ribosomal RNA", at positions 592 to 976 of the family's 1831-position model. The record is from RNAcentral.